UCAGACGAUGCGUCAUGCAUAUCAAUAAGCGGAGGAAAAGAAACUAACAAGGAUUCCCCUAGUAACGGCGAGUGAAGCGGGAAGAGCUCAAAUUUGAAAUCUUAAAGGGUUUCCCUUUACGAAUUGUAGUUUAAAGAAGUGUUUUCUGUUGAGGUUUUGGUAAAAGUUCUUUGGAAUAGGACAUCAUAGAGGGUGAGAAUCCCGUAUUUGACCUUUACUUUCAACUUUGUGAUACACUUUCAAAGAGUCGGAUUGUUUGGGAAUGCAGUCCAAAAUGGGUGGUAAAUUUCAUCUAAAGCUAAAUAUUGGCGAGAGACCGAUAGCGAACAAGUACCGUGAGGGAAAGAUGAAAAGAACUUUGAAAAGAGAGUUAAACAGUACGUGAAAUUGUCAAAAGGGAAGCGUUUGACACCAGUGUUGUUUUUCUGAAAAUCAAUUAAAGAACUGUUUAUGCUAAGCUGUUUAGACUUUAUCAGCUAUCCUGUUUAGUUUUGAGCUUUUCUUUAAUGCACUUUUCAGUUAACAAGUCAACAUCAAUUUCUUUUGCUGUAAAAAAGCUUGAGGAAGGUGGCUUGAGAUUCGUCUUAAGUGUUUAUAGCCUCUUGCCUAUGCAGUCGGAGAGAUUGAGGUCUGCAGCGUAGAUCCUUCGGGGCUAAAUGCAUUUGUGCUAAGUUAUAGCAUUUUAUAGACAACUUGUUGACUAUGAUUUGUCUUGUAGCUUACUCGCUUAUGUUAUUUUACCUACGCUUAGGAUGUUGACACACGCGCGUGCUC
RNAcentral lists this ribosomal RNA (774 nucleotides) under uncultured Neocallimastigales. RNAcentral's name for it is "partial large subunit ribosomal RNA". It matches the Rfam family "Eukaryotic large subunit ribosomal RNA", at positions 18 to 642 of the family's 3401-position model. The record is from RNAcentral. Lineage: Eukaryota; Fungi; Neocallimastigomycota; Neocallimastigomycetes; Neocallimastigales.